UCAUGCAGUCGACGCGUUGGCCUAAUUGAUUGAUGGUGCUUGCACCUGAUUGAUUUUGGUUGCCAACGAGUGGCGGACGGGUGAGUAACACGUAGGUAACCUGCCCAGAAGCGGGGGACAACAUUUGGAAACAGAUGCUAAUACCGCAUAACAGCGUUGUUCGCAUGAACAACGCUUAAAAGAUGGCUUCUCGCUAUCACUUCUGGAUGGACCUGCGGUGCAUUAGCUUGUUGGUGGGGUAACGGCCUACCAAGGCGAUGAUGCAUAGCCGAGUUGAGAGACUGAUCGGCCACAAUGGGACUGAGACACGGCCCAUACUCCUACGGGAGGCAGCAGUAGGGAAUCUUCCACAAUGGGCGCAAGCCUGAUGGAGCAACACCGCGUGAGUGAAGAAGGGUUUCGGCUCGUAAAGCUCUGUUGUUAAAGAAGAACACGUAUGAGAGUAACUGUUCAUACGUUGACGGUAUUUAACCAGAAAGUCACGGCUAACUACGUGCCAGCAGCCGCGGUAAUACGUAGGUGGCAAGCGUUAUCCGGAUUUAUUGGGCGUAAAGAGAGUGCAGGCGGUUUUCUAAGUCUGAUGUGAAAGCCUUCGGCUUAACCGGAGAAGUGCAUCGGAAACUGGAUAACUUGAGUGCAGAAGAGGGUAGUGGAACUCCAUGUGUAGCGGUGGAAUGCGUAGAUAUAUGGAAGAACACCAGUGGCGAAAGGCGGCUACCUGGUCUGCAACUGACGCUGAGACGUAAACGAUGAGUGCUAGGUGUUGGAGGGUUUCCGCCCUUCAGUGCCGGAGCUAACGCAUUAAGCACUCCGCCUGGGGAGUACGACCGCAAGGUUGAAACUCAAAGGAAUUGACGGGGGCCCGCACAAGCGGUGGAGCAUGUGGUUUAAUUCGAAGCUACGCGAAGAACCUUACCAGGUCUUGACAUCUUGCGCCAACCCUAGAGAUAGGGCGUUUCCUUCGGGAACGCAAUGACAGGUGGUGCAUGGUCGUCGUCAGCUCGUGUCGUGAGAUGUUGGGUUAAGUCCCGCAACGAGCGCAACCCUUGUUACUAGUUGCCAGCAUUAAGUUGGGCACUCUAGUGAGACUGCCGGUGACAAACCGGAGGAAGGUGGGGACGACGUCAGAUCAUCAUGCCCCUUAUGACCUGGGCUACACACGUGCUACAAUGGACGGUACAACGAGUCGCGAACUCGCGAGGGCAAGCAAAUCUCUUAAAACCGUUCUCAGUUCGGACUGCAGGCUGCAACUCGCCUGCACGAAGUCGGAAUCGCUAGUAAUCGCGGAUCAGCAUGCCGCGGUGAAUACGUUCCCGGGCCUUGUACACACCGCCCGUCACACCAUGAGAGUUUGUAACACCCAAAGUC
Molecule: ribosomal RNA, 1368 nt
Filed under: Limosilactobacillus fermentum
Lineage: Bacteria; Bacillati; Bacillota; Bacilli; Lactobacillales; Lactobacillaceae
Description: bacterial SSU rRNA
Rfam family: Bacterial small subunit ribosomal RNA
Source: RNAcentral